GGCUUCAGCUGGAAAAAUGAAAUUUACAUUUUCUGCUGUUAAACACUACAUGACGUUCUGGCCUCUUUUACAUACUUUGACAAACAAAUUUGCGUGGGAAUUUUCCUUCAACGGCUCCUGGUGUUUUCAGCCUGCUGUAUUUAAUCAAUCAGGACAUGUAUAGAUUAUAAGCUGUGUGUGGAGGACGCUGAGUGUGUUUGUAUGCCUGGUGUUGUGUAAACUUUAUAUAUGUUAAUUUAAACCUGAUUCCUCUGCAUCUCUCUCUGUCAUUCAUAGUCAUUGUCACUUUCCCGGUUUGGUUUAGUGCCUUUUCUCUCAGACACUCUGAAAUAAAAACAGUAAUACCUCUGGAAA
Sander lucioperca (pikeperch) is the source of this 354-nucleotide long non-coding RNA. RefSeq lists it as uncharacterized. Lineage: Eukaryota; Metazoa; Chordata; Actinopteri; Perciformes; Percidae. The transcript has 3 exons. The record is from RefSeq and is a predicted model, not a curated record.